This 314-nucleotide long non-coding RNA is filed under the name Pan paniscus (pygmy chimpanzee). RNAcentral's name for it is "lncRNA (ENSPPAG00000045361.1)". Lineage: Eukaryota; Metazoa; Chordata; Mammalia; Primates; Hominidae. The record is from RNAcentral.
GUGAUAGCUCCGCCAGACACUCCAAAAAUCGUAACAAUUUGCAUUGAUUCAUUUUUUCAGCAGCACAACUUGUAACAGUUUCACCAGCUGACUGUGGAAAGGGCAGCUAUGCGUUCAUUUCUGUCCAGAUCCCUGUAAUUAUUUCAUCCUGGAAUUCACAGCCAGAAAGGAGUUUGCCUGCAGACUGCAAGCUUCUUGCAGGCCGAACUUAGACUUCAUUCUUCAUAACCUUGGCACCAAGCACAGUGCACAGUAUGUGGUGAGUAUGCAAAAAACAAACACUUCUUUAAAAGCAGAAGAUGAAAUGGAGGGAU